Molecule: long non-coding RNA, 1184 nt
Organism: Cinclus cinclus
Lineage: Eukaryota; Metazoa; Chordata; Aves; Passeriformes; Cinclidae
Exons: 3
Source: RefSeq, a predicted model, not a curated record
UUGGGGUUUGGGUUUGAGGUGCAAGGUUUGGGAUGGUCCUGGAGUAUAUGUGAUUCAGGAUUUGGGAAGUCCCAGGGUUUCUGGGCUCUCAGCAUUCCCUGACCCCAGUCCCAAGCCCACAGAGUGCCUGGGGGUGUACCCUGGAGACCCCCAGCUGCUGGUGCUGGAUUGCACUGACAGCAAUUUCACCCUCCAAUUCCACAGGUAAAUCCCACAAGUCCCACCCAGGGAAGUUUCCCAUCCCUAAAAUCCAAGUGUUGGAUUUGCGACCCCUUUUUCCGAAUUCCUGUGUGGGAUUAUGGGAUGAAAUUUUCCCUUUCCCAGGGUAAUUUUUGGGGAUUUUGUGGCCAAGUUUUCCCUUUCCUGAUGUUUUCUGGGGGAUUUUGGUGCAGAAUUUUUCCUUUUCUAGAAUGUUUUUUUUUUUUUUUUGUUAUUUUGGGAACUCCUGAGGUUUUUGGGGAUUUCAGAUGGAAUUUUCCAUUAGCAUUGGAUUUUUUGAGAUUUUGGGGUGGAAAUUUUCCUUUUUUUUUUUUAGGAUUUUGGGGUGGAAUUUUAAUUUCUGGGGGAUUUUUGGGGUCAAAUUUUUCCUUUUCCAGGUUUUUUUUUGAACUUGGGGAACUCACAGGGUUUUUUGGGGAUUUAUGGGCAGAUUUGUUCUCUUUUUUGGGGAUUUUUUGCGGCGGAGUUUUCCCUUUUGCAUUGGUUUCUUUGGGAUUUUGAGGUGGAUUUUUUCCUAUUUUAUUUUUUAGUGAUUUUGAGGCCUCUUGUAGUGUUUUUUGUCCCCUCAGGCUGAUCAGUGUCAUCAUGGAGUUCCAGCUCAAGGCCAUCAACAUCCAAACGCUACUAAAACAGAAAAUCCCCGACUGCUACACCUUCAGUGAUAUUGCCACCCACCCUGAGCUCUGGUGCCAUCGGCAUCCCCUGGCAGCCGGUCCAGCUCUGAAUCUCUUGGAAGAGGAAAUCCACAGUCCCAGGCCGGGGACUCAAGGGUAUCCAGGAUGAGAAGAGGUGACCGAAGCAUUCCCCAGGUGAUCUUGAUGAUGAAUGUCACCUUAGAAGGUCUGGGCACAGAGAAGAAUGAUCCCUUUCAGGGUUGACCCUAUUUGGACAACCUGCUUCUCACCUCCAACCUCACCAUGUCAGACAUUGCCCACCUGGGACUGACAUCCUAAAACAUAAAAAAA